Molecule: ribosomal RNA, 507 nt
Filed under: uncultured bacterium
Lineage: Bacteria
Description: partial 16S ribosomal RNA
Rfam family: Bacterial small subunit ribosomal RNA
Source: RNAcentral
GACGAACGCUGGCGGCGUGCCUAAUACAUGCAAGUCGAACGCAUUUUCUUUCACCGUAGCUUGCUACACCGAAAGAAAAUGAGUGGCGAACGGGUGAGUAACACGUGGGUAACCUGCCCAUCAGCGGGGGAUAACACUUGGAAACAGGUGCUAAUACCGCAUAAUUCCAUUUACCGCAUGGUAAAUGGAUGAAAGGCGCUUUUGCGUCACUGAUGGAUGGACCCGCGGUGCAUUAGCUAGUUGGUGGGGUAACGACCUACCAAGGCUGCGAUGCAUAGCCGACCUGAGAGGGUGAUCGGCCACACUGGGACUGAGACACGGCCCAGACUCCUACGGGAGGCAGCAGUAGGGAAUCUUCGGCAAUGGACGCAAGUCUGACCGAGCAACGCCGCGUGAGUGAAGAAGGUUUUCGGAUUGUAAAACUCUGUUGUUAGAGAAGAACAAGGAUGAGAGUGGAAAGUUCAUCCCUUGACGGUAUCUAACCAGAAAGCCACGGCUAACUACGUG